GGGGAAUCUUGCGCAAUGGGCGAAAGCCUGACGCAGCAACGCCGCGUGCGGGAUGAAGGCCUUCGGGUUGUAAACCGCUUUCAGCAGGGACGAAAUUGACGGUACCUGCAGAAGAAGCCCCGGCCAACUACGUGCCAGCAGCCGCGGUAAUACGUAGGGGGCGAGCGUUGUCCGGAUUUAUUGGGCGUAAAGAGCUCGUAGGCGGUUGGGUAAGUCGGGUGUGAAAACUCAGGGCUCAACUCUGAGACGCCACUCGAUACUGCUCUGACUCGAGUCCGGUAGGGGAGCGUGGAAUUCCCGGUGUAGCGGUGAAAUGCGCAGAUAUCGGGAGGAACACCAGUGGCGAAGGCGGCGCUCUGGGCCGGAACUGACGCUGAGGAGCGAAAGCGUGGGUAGCAAAC
RNAcentral lists this ribosomal RNA (401 nucleotides) under uncultured bacterium. RNAcentral describes it as "bacterial SSU rRNA". It matches the Rfam family "Bacterial small subunit ribosomal RNA", at positions 356 to 773 of the family's 1533-position model. The record is from RNAcentral.